This 465-nucleotide ribosomal RNA is filed under the name Salmonella enterica subsp. enterica serovar Goldcoast. Its description in RNAcentral is "bacterial SSU rRNA". It matches the Rfam family "Bacterial small subunit ribosomal RNA", at positions 338 to 795 of the family's 1533-position model. The record is from RNAcentral. Lineage: Bacteria; Pseudomonadati; Pseudomonadota; Gammaproteobacteria; Enterobacterales; Enterobacteriaceae.
CCUACGGGCGGCUGCAGUAGGGAAUCUUCGGCAAUGGGCGAAAGCCUGACCGAGCAACGCCGCGUGAAUGAUGAAGGCCUUCGGGUUGUAAAAUUCUGUUAUAAGGGAAGAAUGGCUCUAGUAGGAAAUGGCUAGAGUGUGCCGGUACCUUAUGAGAAAGCCACGGCUAACUACGUGCCAGCAGCCGCGGUAAUACGUAGGUGGCAAGCGUUGUCCGGAAUUAUUGGGCGUAAAGAGCGCGCAGGUGGUUGAUUAAGUCUGAUGUGAAAGCCCACGGCUUAACCGUGGAGGGUCAUUGGAAACUGGUCAACUUGAGUGCAGAAGAGGGAAGUGGAAUUCCAUGUGUAGCGGUGAAAUGCGUAGAGAUAUGGAGGAACACCAGUGGCGAAGGCGGCUUCCUGGUCUGUAACUGACACUGAGGCGCGAAAGCGUGGGGAGCAAACAGGAUUAGAUACCCUUGUAGUC